RNAcentral lists this long non-coding RNA (677 nucleotides) under Zea mays. Its description in RNAcentral is "long non-coding RNA NONZMAT002347". Lineage: Eukaryota; Viridiplantae; Streptophyta; Magnoliopsida; Poales; Poaceae. The record is from RNAcentral.
CGGUCAUGGACCGAUCUAGCUAAAGCGGUAUUAUUCUUGGAAUCUUGUCUGUCUAACUGGGAUUGGACGACCAAGGUCAUAUCCCCUUACCCCAGCCUAAGCCGCGGUGGUGCACAUGCAUCCCAUGGCGGUGCGCGCCGGUGAGCAGGCGAACUGCCCACCCCGGUGCCCGAUUUUGAACGAGGAUGGGUCCUACGCAUGGAGGCGACCUAAGUGAAUGUAGCAGAGGUCUACUUACCACGAAUUACAGAGAUAGUUCUUCCCAUGGUGUGGUGCGGUACAUUGGUGGGUUUGACAUUCUGGCGAGCAAUCUUGGUGACUCCAAGGGGCUUCACUCACGGGUAAAAUCUCCGUCAAACUCCACAGAUCCCGGAGAAGCGCCUGGAUGAAUCGUUCGAGGCGACGUUCUCGCGGGUCAUCAACGACGACCGCUCUUCUAUUUUAACAAACAGUUGAUGUUUUCUUUUCUGGAUUUUAGAUUAAAUUCCAGGCUUAACAGUUUUAAGAUUUAUAUCUCUAACAUGUUUUAGUACUGCCAUCUACUUAUUUUAGGAGAAGAUAUCUCCAAAUUAUAGGAAUUCUGAUUAACAGAUAUCCUAGUUAAAAAUCUUUAGAAAAUUAUAUUAUAUUGCCAAAAUGAUAUUUUGUGGCAUUAUAAAUUCUAUCCCCCUUAAAAA